This 253-nucleotide ribosomal RNA is filed under the name uncultured bacterium. RNAcentral's name for it is "partial 16S ribosomal RNA". It matches the Rfam family "Bacterial small subunit ribosomal RNA", at positions 524 to 776 of the family's 1533-position model. The record is from RNAcentral.
UACAGAGGGUGCGAGCGUUGUCCGGAAUCACUGGGCGUAAAGGGCGCGUAGGCGGCUUGAUAAGCGUGCGGUGAAAGCCCGGGGCUCAACCCCGGGUCGGCCGUGCGAACUGUCGAGCUGGAGCACUGUAGAGGCAGGUGGAAUUCCGGGUGUAGCGGUGGAAUGCGUAGAGAUCCGGAAGAGCACCGGUGGCGAAGGCGGCCUGCUGGGCAGUGGCUGACGCUGAGGCGCGACAGCGUGGGGAGCAAACAGG